CUGUCACAGCACCAUACGAGUGUAGUGGCGUACUUUUUGUAGAACGGACCGGCGAGUUACGAUGUCAAGCGAGGUUAAGAUGAGAAGUCGGAGCCGAAGCGAAAGCGAGUCUGAAGAGGGCGAAAGUUUGACAUAGUAGACCCGAAACCGGGUGAUCUACCCAUGAGCAGGAUGAAGCGUUAGUAAAAUAACGUGGAGGUCCGAACCAGGCAUCGUUGAAAAGAUGUUGGAUGACUUGUGGGUAGGGGUGAAAUUCCAAUCGAACUCGGAGAUAGCUGGUUCUCCUCGAAAUAGCUUUAGGGCUAGCCUUGAAUUAGAUUAUGGGAGGUAGAGCACUGAAUAGGCUAGGGGGCUUCACCGCCUACCGAACCUUAUCAAACUACGAAUGCCGAUAAUUGAUGUUCAGGAGUCAGACUGUGGGGGAUAAGCUUCAUGGUCAAAAGGGAAACAGCCCAGACCGCCAGUUAAGGUCCCAAAAUAAUGAUUAAGUGGAAAACGAUGUGAAAUCGCUCAGACAACCAGGAUGUUGGCUCAGAAGCAGCCACCAUUAAAAGAGUGCGUAAUAGCUCACUGGUCCAGGGGUUUUGCGCCGAAAAUGUAACGGGGCUCAAACACACCACCGAAGCCGCGGAAUGUUUUAGGACAUUGGUAGAGGAGCGUUCUUAAUGCGACGAAGGCGUACCGAGAGGAGCGUUGGAGCGUUAAGAAGUGAGAAUGCCGGUAUUAGUAUGCGAAAAGGCAGGUGAGAAUCCUGCCCGCCGAAAAUCUAAGGAUUCCUGGGGAAGGCUCGUCCGCCCAGGGUAAGUCGGGACCUAAGGCGAGGCCGAAAGGCGUAGUCGAUGGGAAACUGGUAGAUAUUCCAGUACCAGCGGAGGUCAAUUGAGUGAAGUAGUGAAGCAGAAGGAUAGGGAGAGCGCCCAGUUGGUGAGGCGUUUAAGUAAGUAGGGUGAUGUGCAGGCAAAUCCACACAUCGAGAGCCUGAGAUACGAAUACGAGUGAAAACUAGUAGCGAAGUCCCCGAUUCCCGGCUGCCAAGAAAAGCUGCUAACGAGACCGAAGGUGCCCGUACCGCAAACCGACACAGGUAGAUGGGGUGAGAAACCUAAGGCGCGCGAGAAAACUCUUGUUAAGGAACUCGGCAAAAUGAACCCGUAACUUCGGGAGAAGGGUUGCUUAUCAUGGUGAAGGAUAAACAUCUGGAGCUGAGAUAAGUCGCAGAGAAAAGGUCCAGGCGACUGUUUAGCAAAAACACAGGUCAUUGCAAAACCGCAAGGUGAAGUAUAAUGGCUGACGCCUGCCCGGUGCUGGAAGGUUAAGGGGAAGAGUGAGAGCUUUGAACCGAAGCCCCAGUAAACGGCGGCCGUAACUAUAACGGUCCUAAGGUAGCGAAAUUCCUUGUCGGGUAAGUUCCGACCCGCACGAAAGGCGUAACGAUCUGGACGCUGUCUCAACAAGGGACUCGGCGAAAUUGAAAUACCGGUAAAGAUGCCGGUUACCUGCGAUAGGACAGAAAGACCCCAUGGAGCUUUACUGUAGCCUGAUAUUGGGUUUUGGUUAUUAAUGUACAGAAUAGGUGGGAGACUGGGAAGCAUGCACGCCAGUGUGUGUGGAGUCGACGUUGGGAUACCACUCUUUGAUGACUGAAAUUCUAACAUAGCAUCCUGAAUCGGGUGUGUGGACAGUGUCAGGCGGGCAGUUUGACUGGGGCGGUCGCCUC
This 1717-nucleotide ribosomal RNA is filed under the name human gut metagenome. Its description in RNAcentral is "bacterial LSU rRNA". It matches the Rfam family "Bacterial large subunit ribosomal RNA", at positions 571 to 2289 of the family's 2925-position model. The record is from RNAcentral.